RNAcentral lists this ribosomal RNA (423 nucleotides) under uncultured bacterium. Its description in RNAcentral is "partial 16S ribosomal RNA". It matches the Rfam family "Bacterial small subunit ribosomal RNA", at positions 361 to 776 of the family's 1533-position model. The record is from RNAcentral.
AUAUUGGACAAUGGGCGAAAGCCUGAUCCAGCCAUGCCGCGUUUGUGAAGAAGGUCUUCGGAUUGUAAAGCACUUUAAGGUGGGAGGAAUGGCAGUAAGUUAAUACCUUGCUGUUUUUACGUUACUGACAUAAUAAGCACCUGCUAAUUUCGUUCCAUCAGCCGCGGUAAUACGAAGGGUGCAAGCGUUAAUCGGAAUUACUGGGCGUAAAGCGCGCGUAGGUGGUUCGUUAAGUUGGAAGUGAAAGCCCCGGGGUUAACCUGGGAAUUGCUUUCAAAACUGACGAGCUGAAGUACGGUAGAGGGUAGUGAAAUUUCCUGUGUAGCGGUGAAAUGCGUAGAUAUAGGAAGGAACAUCAGUGGCGAAGGCGACUACCUGGACUGAUACUGACACUGAGGUGCGAAAGCGUGGGGAGCAAACAGG